Molecule: ribosomal RNA, 468 nt
Filed under: uncultured bacterium
Lineage: Bacteria
Description: partial 16S ribosomal RNA
Rfam family: Bacterial small subunit ribosomal RNA
Source: RNAcentral
GACGAACGUUGGCGGCGUGCUUAACACAUGCAAGUCGAACGGAAAGGCCCUGCUUUUGUGGGGUGCUCGAGUGGCGAACGGGUGAGUAACACGUGAGUAACCUGCCCUUGACUUUGGGAUAACUUCAGGAAACUGGGGCUAAUACCGGAUAGGAGCUCCUGCUGCAUGGUGGGGGUUGGAAAGUUUCGGCGGUUGGGGAUGGACUCGCGGCUUAUCAGCUUGUUGGUGGGGUAGUGGCUUACCAAGGCUUUGACGGGUAGCCGGCCUGAGAGGGUGACCGGCCACAUUGGGACUGAGAUACGGCCCAGACUCCUACGGGAGGCAGCAGUGGGGAAUAUUGCACAAUGGGCGGAAGCCUGAUGCAGCAACGCCGCGUGCGGGAUGACGGCCUUCGGGUUGUAAACCGCUUUCGCCUGUGACGAAGCAUGAGUGACGGUAAUGGGUAAAGAAGCACCGGCUAACUACGUG